This 768-nucleotide ribosomal RNA is filed under the name Physcia caesia. RNAcentral describes it as "SSU rRNA". It matches the Rfam family "Bacterial small subunit ribosomal RNA", at positions 360 to 1161 of the family's 1533-position model. The record is from RNAcentral. Lineage: Eukaryota; Fungi; Ascomycota; Lecanoromycetes; Caliciales; Physciaceae.
AAUAUUGGUCAAUAGCCUAACGGCUUGAACCAGCAACUUGGAGGAAUGUAUGGCGAAAGCUGGUUGCAUUUACUAAAAAGGUGCAAGAUUGAUUCUAUCGAAUAAAGUUCUAGAUAGGUUAUGAUGAUGACAUUUCCUGUCUAUGUGUCUUGACUAAAUUACGUGCCAGCAGUCGCGGUAAUACGUAGAAGACUAGUGUUAUUCAUCUUUAAUAGGUUUAAAGGGUACCUAGACGGUAAAUCAAGUCCAAAAAGGAUACUAAUUUGCUAGAGUUUAAUGUGAGGGGGCACUAAAGUACUGAUAAGUGUAGAGAUGAAAUUCUGUGUACAUUAAGGACAGGUAAAGGCGAAAGCAUCUCAUAUGUAAUAACUGACGUUGAGGGACGAAGGCUAGGAGAAGCAAAAAGGAUUAGAUACCCAAGUAGUCUUAGCAGAAAAUUAUGAAUGUCAUAGGAUGGAAAUAGUGGAUAACAAUUUUUUUUUCUAUAAAUGAAAGUGUAAGCAUUCCACCUCGAGAGUAAUUUGGCAACAUUGGAACUGAAAUCAUUAGACCGUUUCUGAAACAAGUAGUGAAGUAUGUUGUUUAAUUUGAUGGUCCGCAAAAAACCUUACCACAAUUUGGAUAGAAAUUUUUAUUUUAUACAAGCGCUGCACGGUUGUCUCCAGUUAAUGUCGUGAGAUCUUGGUUAGUUCCAUUAAAUUAACGUAAACCCUUACUUUAUUAUAUAAGAGUAGUUCACCGCUAGAUUGGAGUGUGAUACAGGGACUA